This 272-nucleotide long non-coding RNA is filed under the name Elaeis guineensis (African oil palm). Its description in RNAcentral is "long non-coding RNA (EGUI_LNC043515)". The record is from RNAcentral. Lineage: Eukaryota; Viridiplantae; Streptophyta; Magnoliopsida; Arecales; Arecaceae.
UGUUGUUGGAUCUAAUAGUUAGAUCUAGGAUUUCAGCAUCGAUGAGAUCAAUGUGAGUUUUUGUUUUCAGAUCUAAAGUGUAUAUUUUUCAUAUCAUAAAUCAUGGGAUAGUAGUUUAGAUUAGAUCUUAUAUAUAUGAUUAAGAUUAAAUUAUUUAAUCUUUUUUUUUCGCUGCAUAAAAAUUUUAAAAUUGCAUGUAUAACACUACCGCAUAUUUCCUACAGUACAGAUAUCCUUUCAUAAUUUUUUUAUAUUUAUUUUUUAUUUUAUGU